RNAcentral lists this ribosomal RNA (287 nucleotides) under Calcidiscus leptoporus. RNAcentral's name for it is "partial Bacterial small subunit ribosomal RNA". It matches the Rfam family "Bacterial small subunit ribosomal RNA", at positions 504 to 790 of the family's 1533-position model. The record is from RNAcentral. Lineage: Eukaryota; Haptophyta; Coccolithales; Calcidiscaceae.
CGUGCCAGCAGCCGCGGUAACACGAACUGUGCGAACGUUAUUCGGAAUCACUGGGCUUAAAGGGUGCGUAGGCGGUCUUGUAGGUCAGAUGUGAAAUCCCACGGCUCAACCGUGGAAUUGCGUUUGAAACCACAGGACUUGAGUAAGAUAGAGGUAAGCGGAACUGAUGGUGGAGCGGUGAAAUGCGUUGAUAUCAUCAGGAACACCGGUGGCGAAAGCGGCUUACUGGGUCUUUACUGACGCUGAGGCACGAAAGCUAGGGGAGCGAACGGGAUUAGAUACCCCGG